This 254-nucleotide ribosomal RNA is filed under the name uncultured bacterium. RNAcentral describes it as "partial 16S ribosomal RNA". It matches the Rfam family "Archaeal small subunit ribosomal RNA", at positions 474 to 728 of the family's 1478-position model. The record is from RNAcentral.
UACCAGCACCCCGAGUGGUCGGGACGUUUAUUGGGCCUAAAGCAUCCGUAGCCGGUUCUACAAGUCUUCCGUUAAAUCCAACUGCUUAACAGGUGGGCUGCGGAAGAUACUAUAGAGCUAGGAGGCGGGAGAGGCAAGCGGUACUCGAUGGGUAGGGGUAAAAUCCGUUGAUCCAUUGAAGGCCACCAGUGGCGAAGGCGGCUUGCCAGAACGCGCUCGACGGUGAGGGAUGAAAGCUGGGGGAGCAAACCGGG